Molecule: long non-coding RNA, 209 nt
Filed under: Mytilus galloprovincialis (Mediterranean mussel)
Lineage: Eukaryota; Metazoa; Mollusca; Bivalvia; Mytilida; Mytilidae
Source: RNAcentral
CAGGAUUUUCGGUUAGGGGGGCGCAAACUUAAAUUUCCGCCGAGCGGAGCGAGGCGAAAUUUUUUUUGAUGUAUUAUUAUCGAAAUUAUUGAAAUAUUCUUCUAGAGAGGGUGCUAUGUAGAUAUCUUGACAAGCGUGGCGAGAAAUAAAUAUUUUGUGGUAAAAGUAGCGAGAAAUUUAAGUUUCAAGCUAAACCCGCAUAAAUCCAC